Molecule: ribosomal RNA, 467 nt
Filed under: uncultured bacterium
Lineage: Bacteria
Description: partial 16S ribosomal RNA
Rfam family: Bacterial small subunit ribosomal RNA
Source: RNAcentral
GACGAACGCUGGCGGCGUGCUUAACACAUGCAAGUCGAACGGAAAGGCCCUGCUUUUGUGGGGUGCUCGAGUGGCGAACGGGUGAGUAACACGUGAGCAACCUGCCCUUGACUUUGGGAUAACUUCAGGAAACUGGGCUAAUACCGGAUAGGAGCUCCCGCUGCAUGGUGGGGGUUGGAAAGUUUCGGCGGUUGGGGAUGGACUCGCGGCUUAUCAGCUUGUUGGUGGGGUAGUGGCUUACCAAGGCUUUGACGGGUAGCCGGCCUGAGAGGGUGACCGGCCACAUUGGGACUGAGAUACGGCCCAGACUCCUACGGGAGGCAGCAGUGGGGAAUAUUGCACAAUGGGCGGAAGCCUGAUGCAGCAACGCCGCGUGCGGGAUGACGGCCUUCGGGUUGUAAACCGCUUUCGCCUGUGACGAAGCGUGAGUGACGGUAAUGGGUAAAGAAGCACCGGCUGACUACGUG